GGCGCGCGGGAAGGGCGGCGCCUGCGGCCUGCGGGGCGCGGGGCAGCGGGGCAGGGCGGCCCGAGGGAGGAGGCGAGCCCGAGGGAGGAGGCGGCGGACCCCCGGCGGACCCCCGGCGGCCCAGACGCCCGCCGCGCGUCCUGCGCCCUCCUCCGCCUCCGGGGCCUGCGAGCGUCACCCGAGCACGCUGAGGGGACCCGCAGCUGGCCACACGCUCUGCGUUCCGCUCCGGGCGUCGCGGGCCUUGGAUACCCAAGUCCUGUGGCGUGGCUCGCUCUGGGUCGCAUUGCUUGAAGGAAGGCUGCGUUACAAGGCCUGGGAGCGGGCCAGGGCUGUGGGCAGUGACUGACUGCACACCUGGGCGGGCCCUCUGGCCCUGGCGUGUCCCUCAGGCCUGGAACCAGCCGAGAGUGCAUUUGAAGUGCACUAGUCCAAGGCCGGGCCCCACCCGUGUGCCGCGUGCGGAAUGUCGAAAGAGCCGCACGAAUCAGAAACUCGACGUGGCAAAUUUCAAAGAGUAAUUUAAACGCGAGGUGCGGCCCGUCCCAGUGCCUUCCGAAUUUGGCUUACAUUUGGCAGCUGCGCUGGGAGAGCAGCAGGUGUGUGGAAGAGAACCGACCGGCCUUCGCCGCUCUGCCUGCCCGGACAGACUCCUGUUCCACCUCCCAGUAGAUCGCGACCUGAGUUACUGGGGCAGUGACCCACAGGCAGGUCGUGCUGCAGAUCUGACAUCGGAAAAUCGGAAAAAAGAUCAAAGAUCCCCCGUUCCCCAAAAGCCCUCAGGAAUACUCUAGCUGCAUAGGUGGUCGCCUCUGGUUUCACACCCUGCUUCACCUGUAAGAAUGACAGCAAAGAUGUCUAUUGCCAAUGGAAGGCCACCCUGGAGUAAUGAGUACAGAGACCCUAAGCACCACAGGAACUCACUAAAAUCAAGGAAGGUCUUUGAAAUCUAUUAGAUUAUCUAUAAAAUUGUGAUUCUUUUCAUGUAAAUAUCUCAUAAAUUAAUGAGGUCGAUGAGUGCUUUAGCAUUUUCAAAGAAGCAGUUGUCAAGAGAGUGCUGUUUUUAGGAGAUACGCCACUUUUACUCCAUAGCUUUGAGACCUGCUCUUACUGCACUGGACCCUGGAAGCUCACCUGUCCUGGAUGGAAGUAGGACAGUGGAAGAGAUCACGGGAAGAUGAUCAGUGUUGUUAGGGCCUGAACAUCUUUAUGUCAGAGAUGGCUGGAUGGUUCAACAAUGAAGGGUGUCUUUCUGGAAAACCCUGAAGACAGUUUGUUGGUCUGCCAGGGCUGCCACAACAAAGUACCACAGAAAAGGUGGCUUGAACAACAGAUUUAUUUCUCCACAGCGCGCGGGCUGGAGAAGAUCAAAGUGUCCGCAGGGUUGAGUGCCUCUGAGGCCUCUCUCCCUGGCUAUAAACAGGUAAAUGGAAGCCAAGAGUUCGCUCUCAGCUGACCCUAUCAAGGAAAUGUUAAUGCAUGUACUACAGGCAAAAGAUCAUAGUCCCAGACCUGCAGGAAAGAAUGAAGAACAAUGAACGAGUCUCUGUUAUGGCCUGGGAAAGCAAUGGAAGACAGCCCAAGACCUUGGGCCCCUGCACCUUCAUGGGAGACCUGGAAGAAGCUACUGGCUCCUGGCUUCAGAUCAGCUCAGCUCUGGACAUUAAUGGUAAUUUGGGGAGUGAACCAGUGGAUGGAAGAUCUCAAUCUCUCUCUGGCUCUACCUUUCCCUCCAGCUCUUUCAAAUAAAUAAAAUAAAUCUUAAAAAAAAAAUAGACUUAGGGAAAAUUUGUAAAUGAAGGAUCUGUUGCCUGCAGAGUCCAAAAGGGCCCAAUUGG
Molecule: long non-coding RNA, 1838 nt
Organism: Oryctolagus cuniculus (rabbit)
Lineage: Eukaryota; Metazoa; Chordata; Mammalia; Lagomorpha; Leporidae
Source: RefSeq, a predicted model, not a curated record